AGUGAACGCUGGCGGUAGGCCUAACACAUGCGAGUCGAACGGCAGCACAGUAAGAGCUUGCUCUUACGGGUGGCGAGUGGCGGACGGGUGAGGAAUACAUCGGAAUCUACUUUUUCGUGGGGGAUAACGUAGGGAAACUUACGCUAAUACCGCAUACGACCUACGGGUGAAAGCAGGGGAUCUUCGGACCUUGCGCGAUUGAAUGAGCCGAUGUCGGAUUAGCUAGUUGGCGGGGUAAAGGCCCACCAAGGCGACGAUCCGUAGCUGGUCUGAGAGGAUGAUCAGCCACACUGGAACUGAGACACGGUCCAGACUCCUACGAGAGGCAGCAGUGGGGAAUAUUGGACAAUGGGCGCAAGCCUGAUCCAGCCAUACCGCGUGGGUGAAGAAGGCCUUCGGGUUGUGAAGCCCUUUUGUGGGGAAAGAAAAGCAGCAGGUUAAUACCCCGCUGUUCUGACGGUACCCAAAGAAUAAGCACCGGCUAACUUCGUG
This 492-nucleotide ribosomal RNA is filed under the name uncultured bacterium. Its description in RNAcentral is "partial 16S ribosomal RNA". It matches the Rfam family "Bacterial small subunit ribosomal RNA", at positions 29 to 507 of the family's 1533-position model. The record is from RNAcentral.